Molecule: non-coding RNA, 408 nt
Organism: Agelaius phoeniceus (red-winged blackbird)
Lineage: Eukaryota; Metazoa; Chordata; Aves; Passeriformes; Icteridae
Source: RefSeq, a predicted model, not a curated record
UAAACACACUCCAACACCUCAGUGUCUUCCUUGGACUGAGGGGCCCAAAACUCAACACAGGAUUUGAGGUCAACCACAACGAAACAGGUGUGCCAUGCUCCACAGAGCCCCCGCUGUGGGAAACAAGCCCCGACAUGUGAGGUCAAGAGUUUGGGGCAAUCAACUAAGAGGGGCAGAGUCCUCCAGGGAAGCCCCAGUGCCAGGCUCCGUCUCUGCAUGCCAGUGCAUUUGCCCCCACGCAGAACUGCUUGGCAGAAAAGAGUACAUACACAUAUGGACUCACUCUCUGAAACAACCAUUGGAGAUAUCUGAGGGAGAACAAAGAGAGGAAGCUGGAUGUUGGCUGCCUACCUUAAGGGAAAAAUGAUGCAAGCAUACUCUAAGUAAUAAACUGAAUAAAAGCUUUCA